Unclassified non-coding RNA from Chrysemys picta bellii (western painted turtle), 181 nucleotides. The record is from Ensembl. NCBI's taxonomy places the organism in Eukaryota, Metazoa, Chordata, Testudines, Emydidae.
CUGACAGGCAGGGAGACCGAAGCCCUCUCUUUAGUCACAGAAUUCGUCCAGGAUGGGAAGCAGCAGUGCAAGAUGCCCCAUGCUGCCACCCUCCCGUGCCUCAUUCCUGAUCUGGAGGGACCACUGCUAGGAGGUUGGAAUUCAGCCUCAUUCGGUCUACAGCCUCUCUGCUGAGGCUGCU